CAAGGCGGCGAUGGCGCGGGGGAUCCACCCCUCCCCAUUCCGAACAGGGAAGUUAAGCCCCGCGGCGCCGAUGGUACUGGGAGACCGGGAGAGUAGGACACCGCCCCCU
Molecule: ribosomal RNA, 109 nt
Filed under: Candidatus Limisoma faecipullorum
Lineage: Bacteria; Pseudomonadati; Bacteroidota; Bacteroidia; Bacteroidales
Source: RNAcentral